CUGGAUUCCAACUGACCCAGUCCGGUUCAGUGUCUGGCUGAACUGAGUCUGGUCCGACUACUGAACCAGGUCAAACCAGUUCGCGGGCCAUUUCAGAUAAAAAGCCAGUGCCCGCUUGAUAUCCAGAGUGUGCAGAUGCUUGUCCAGCUUUGACUCCAGAUGUGGAGAAAAAGAUAAGAACAUACACUGCUCCUCCUGAACUCUGUAUUUAAGUCUUCUAGAAGUUGGUGGUACUGACAAAGACUUUGUCCAAGUCUGUUGGGCAGUCUGGGCCAAAAUCAAUAGCAUGGGCAAUGCUGCAGACAGAGCACAGGAAGAGGCAAUUCUGGGAAUGGUGGGAUGAGAUGAAAGCUCUUCAUGCCGGCUACGCUGCAUAACAUGGAUAACAGGAACGAGCGAACAGCCCUUGUGUGUGUCAUCAAUAAACAUUGUGCUCUACAGAGCUUCCUAAGGAGGGGAAAGAAAGGAAGGAAGGAGGAAGGAAGGAAACUGACAGUCUGAAUCUGUAAGGAUUUAUGGGAGAAAAUAAAUACAGCCUAUCAUAAAACCACA
Hemicordylus capensis (graceful crag lizard) is the source of this 552-nucleotide long non-coding RNA. RefSeq lists it as uncharacterized. The transcript has 5 exons. The record is from RefSeq and is a predicted model, not a curated record. Lineage: Eukaryota; Metazoa; Chordata; Lepidosauria; Squamata; Cordylidae.